This 248-nucleotide unclassified non-coding RNA is filed under the name Hevea brasiliensis (rubber tree). The record is from RNAcentral. Lineage: Eukaryota; Viridiplantae; Streptophyta; Magnoliopsida; Malpighiales; Euphorbiaceae.
GGGUUGGGUGGUGUUUCAAUUACUGUAAGUUUCUUUAUACUGGUUUACUGAACAAAUAAUCAGUUCAGGGUUAAGAAAUGUAAAAUAUAAUAUAUGCAAAUUUUUUUUUCUCCAUAAUGAGAUAGUGUGCAAUUAUAUAAUCAUUAUAUUAUUGAGAUUUUUUCCACAGAAGUAACUCUUAGUGGCUAUCAAUUAUUUGCGUACUUUGUAAAAAAGAGUGAAAAAAAGAAAAUAAAAGAGUAAAUUUU